GAUGAAGAACGUAGCGAAAUGCGAUAAGUAGUGUGAAUUGCAGAAUUCAGUGAAUCAUCGAAUCUUUGAACGCACAUUGCGCCCUUUGGUAUUCCAAAGGGCAUGCCUGUUCGAGCGUCAUUUGUACCAUCAAGCUUUGCUUGGUGUUGGGCGUCUUGUCUCUAGCUUUGCUGGAGACUCGCCUUAAAGUAAUUGGCAGCCGGCCUACUGGUUUCGGAGCGCAGCACAAGUCGCACUCUCUAUCAGCAAAGGUCUAGCAUCCACUAAGCCUUUUUUUCAACUUUUGACCUCGGAUCAGGUAGGGAUACCCGCUGAACUUAAGCAUAUCAAUAAGCGGAGGA
This 341-nucleotide unclassified non-coding RNA is filed under the name soil metagenome. RNAcentral describes it as "partial contains 5.8S ribosomal RNA, internal transcribed spacer 2, and large subunit ribosomal RNA". The stretch from base 1 to 120 matches the Rfam family "5.8S ribosomal RNA", at positions 35 to 154 of the family's 154-position model. The record is from RNAcentral.